RNAcentral lists this ribosomal RNA (393 nucleotides) under uncultured bacterium. RNAcentral's name for it is "partial 16S ribosomal RNA". It matches the Rfam family "Bacterial small subunit ribosomal RNA", at positions 523 to 918 of the family's 1533-position model. The record is from RNAcentral.
AUACGGAGGAUCCGAGCGUUAUCCGGAUUUAUUGGGUUUAAAGGGAGCGUAGGUGGAUUGUUAAGUCAGUUGUGAAGGUUUGCGGCUCAACCGUAAAAUUGCAGUUGAAACUGGCAGUCUUGAGUACAGUAGAGGUGGGCGGAAUUCGUGGUGCAGCGGUGAAAUGCUUAGAUAUCACGAAGAACUCCGAUUGCGAAGGCAGCUCACUAGACUGUUACUGACACUGAUGCUCGAAAGUGUGGGUAUCAAACAGGAUUAGAUACCCUGGUAGUCCACACAGUAAACGAUGAAUACUCGCUGUUUGCGAUAUACAGUAAGCGGCCAAGCGAAAGCAUUAAGUAUUCCACCUGGGGAGUACGCCGGCAACGGUGAAACUCAAAGGAAUUGACGGGG